Pongo pygmaeus (Bornean orangutan) is the source of this 4780-nucleotide long non-coding RNA. RefSeq lists it as uncharacterized. NCBI's taxonomy places the organism in Eukaryota, Metazoa, Chordata, Mammalia, Primates, Hominidae. The transcript is spliced from 3 exons. The record is from RefSeq and is a predicted model, not a curated record.
AUAUAAAGGAAGGGGGCGUCUUUUCCUGGAGAAAUUGCUUCACCUCUUUCAGGAAAACCCGCCUUCUCUACAUGUUAAAAUCUUUAUCAGAACACGCCAACUGACUUCAGGUUUAGUACUAAAGAAAAAAAAAUGGGGGAUGUCCUGUUAACUUGACUUUAAAAAAUCUACGUCUGCAUUUGCCAUAACUUUUAAAUUCUCGCUCCCCAACCCAAACCUAAACAAAGAUUCAGGUUACAUCUCUUUCUGCAGCAAGCAGAAGGGGAAGCGGAGGUCUGGGUGACUUGAAAGUUUUAGUCAUUCUCUUGAAACUCGCAGCUCUCCGGUGUAGCCGAGGAACGCCACCGCUCCUGUCAGCCUGGGGGCUGACUUAUCUAGCAGUUCGCGUUCCCUUUCCGAAAAGUUUUCUCAUUAAGAUAAAGAAGGAACAUCUGAGCAACACAAAAGCUUAUGAUUUGCGACUAGAUUUGAAAUCAAGGCUACAAGAAAGACAAAACAUCGUUCUGGAGACCGCUCUUCCGGAUGGAAAGUCAGAGUCGUGCAGAACAUUGGCGCCAUCAGGUCAUGUAUAGAGCAGCAUUUCGUUGAAAGUGGAAUUAAACAUAAAGGUCCAGUUUGGAUAUUUAAUUACAGUUUGUGUGUGUGUGUGUGUGUGUGUGUGUGUGUGUGUGUGUGUUAGGGUUUAAAGUGAAUCUGGAGUACUGUCUGGCUACUAUCGAGGAGAAUUUAUCGCGCGGGUCAUUUGGAGAUCCAGAGAGAGCUAGAGCUGUGUUAGGGAAUCAGGGCGGGGGUGCGGGCAUUUAUGCGGUCUUUCCACCCACCCUCGCCUAAUCAGGCGGCUCUCAAUCAGGUUUUCAAAAUACUAACCUUGAUCUAAGAGCGUCUAUCUCUGCAUAAGUGGAGAAAAUGAUUCAUUGUUAGAGGUUUCUGGGCUUGGGGAAGAAGAAUGGUCGUCAGACAGGAGCAGAAGACCUGAAAGAUUGGUCUGGCCUCGCUUUACUCCAGGCGCCCUGUGGGAUGCUGACCUGUCCCAGGAUGCAGCUGCGCGCACCCCUCCUUGAGCUAUAAGCCUCUGGGCGGUGGAAAAGCAAUCGCUUGCGUCGUGACAGUUCCUACCUACUAAAUUGAAAAUUUGAAAAUCAGAGACCGCAGGCCCACCCAAAGUGUCUACCAACGUCCGCGGACCACAGGGCUUUUUGCAAGCCCAUGGAAAAGACAGCCUGAGAGACUUCGGAGUGCGUCCUGUCCCAGGCUGUGCCUCUCCUGCUCAAGGGAAGACUUGAGUGUAUCUCCCUAAAAACCGAUGGGGGCAGGGAAGGGGUCUAGAUCCCGUGGAGCCAGGCCUUGAUUGGAGGUCCGGGGCUGGAGAGAGGGAACACCAACCCGCCCUGACCCCCACAGCUUCCACUCACCCGAAGAGCUGCCUAAUUGGGCUGCGAGCAGCUGCGAAAUUUGUAAUCGUCUAAUAAGGCUUCCGCCUCGGUAAUUCUUAUCAAAAGGCAUAAAACUGAUAUUUUCACACUCAGCUCGCACUGCAGGCGCCGUUUAUAAACAUCCUUCAUCAGUGGGAUGAAAUUAAGCCUGCAUUGACAGAGGUCUCUGGAACUCAAUAUUUAAAAGCAAUAGAUCCGAAUUAGCAAAUUAUAAAUUUAAGUAGGGAAAGUCCCCACCAACUUGACUAUUGAACCCUUUGCCUCUGAGCUCCUCGGGGUGAGUAACCACACAUUUGAGAGAACUUAACCUGGAGGUUCUGUGGUGUCAGGCCAUCUCCGGAAACUCGGAUUCCCGAAACUGCGCCUGCUACGGCUCCUCCCGCCCGCCUUCUAGGGACUCGCCUGGGUCAGACCUGUGGAGACCGGGGCGAGGCACAGCUGGAGCCUGGGAGAAAACGCGGUCAAAGGAGGCGCAUCCAGGACUCCCGGGCAGCCUGCAGGCGCAGUAACAGAGCCCUGCUCUUGCGGACCCGAGCUUUCCCCGGCCCGCGGCCCUCACUGCCCACCUCCAGGGCACCAGCGCCAAGGGUACAGUGGGCCAUAGGACUGUAGGAGGCGGUGGAGAAUGGAGAGACUUUCGCGAUCAUAAGAAGGUGCAGAUUCUGGCAGAAUUCUGGUGGCGACUCCUUCGAUCCCUGAAGGUGGAAUCUCAGCUAAAACCACUCUGAAACUGUGGAUGUCACACUUGGUUCAGGGUUAGGAGACCGUGUCUUUGGAUUUUUGCCCAUCCCGUGUAACCAUUAUAAAUAUUAGUCUGGAAAAAGACUUUAGGAGAUUGCUUCUAGAGGUUCUUUCUACAAACUUGCCCUGCUCAGAAUCUGCAUAACUCCUCAGAGAUGGCAGAGCUGUAUACGGGCUCACCUUGGGAGUUACCGGUCCCAGACUCCGUUUUAGACCUUGCUACCCACAGUUUCUGAGGGUAAGAGAGGGGUGCUUUUAUUCACGCCAGCGGAGGUCGCCAAAAGCGGGCGAGGGCCUCCGUCUGGGAUCCACUGGUGUCUCUCACACUGUGGGCCAAGACUGAGGUUUGAUGGGCUUCCCAGCUGGGCAAGCCUGCUCCACGCGGGACACCCGGGAAUCCACUGGCGGGCAGACCCGGCCUUCGCCACCCGUCCCGCGGCAUUCCUCACUGCGGUCUGAUGCGCCAGCUGGGGCCAGUUGUCUCAAGCCGUUCUGGAGGACCAAUAGCGGAAAGCCAAGUUCUGCGACCAAGAGUCUGUACCAGUGACUCGGUGUUUCUUUUCAGCCAGUUCGCAGAGCGCCAGUAAGCUCUCCCGGUCCUCUACGGAAGAAACAGGGGAAGCAUUUCCAGUCUAAGAGAGAGGAUGGGAGAAAGAAAAUUAGGAACCACGCGGAGCCCGAAAUUAAGCAGGGCAGCCUGGAAGCUUCCCGGCUAAAAGCUAUGGCGCGAAACGCUAAAGUCCAUUACACCAUUUAUUCAUUGUGACAUUUCCAAGCCGACAAUCGCGCCUUAAGCACGCUUGUGGUUUGGAGGUGCCGGUUUUAUAUGCAUUUUAUUGUUUAGAAUGAUAAACAAAUCAGGACCAAUGGAAACCUGAUUCUAACCUCUUUCUACAGAACUCUGCCUGCAUAAUUCUGUAAAAGCCGAAAUCCAAGGUGGCGAGAGAGAGAGAGAGAGAGAGAGAGAGAGAGAGAGAGAGAGAGGGAGAGAGAGAGAGGAUCCAACUCUCUAACCGCCUCCCUUUACCGCGUUUCCCUACAAGUCCUAGGCAAACAGGGCAGAUAUAGCCUGGAGUUCGCUGAUCAAGAAAGAGGAUGGAACCGAGACCCUUUAGGCUUCUCCUCCCCUUCCACAUCCCCGUUUUCCCACUUGCCCAGGGAUGUCUGAAAGUCCAACUCGGCCAGUGUGGCAGGAAAGCUAAACUUUAUCUAAGUGCAAAAACCAGACGUUUUUCUCGGUUUCUGGGGAUGGGUGAGAGGCAGAAGUGGGACUGUGUGAGCCUCCUAUUCGCAGGCUUGGAUGAGAUUUUGAUAAGGGAACCCUCAGCUCAAGUUGUUAGCCAGGGUGAAUGAGCCCCACACAAGCCUGCGCCGUCCGCCCACAACUUUGGUGUCUAAGGUUCUCCCCAGCAACACUUCCACCUCCGGUGUAACUCAUAAAGCUAUGCUUUUACAAAAAAAAAAAAGUUGGCCCAAGAAUCUUGAGCCAUGAAUUUUAAAAACUUAAAUAACUUCUAUAUGCAUUUCUGCUACAAGAGACUGGUUCUUGUAACUGUGGCAAGGUUUUCUUCCUUUCCUUCCUAUCCUCCUCCUCUCCCUUCCUCCUUCCCUGCUUGCCUUCCUUCCUUCAUGGGAGUUCAGGGUUUAAGAGGUAGGCAAUGUGUUAUUAUAGUAAGAGCACAGGUUUGAAGUUAGUCAAAUAUGUAAUGGAAUUUUGAGCAAUUUACAUUUUUAACACUUGAGCUUUCUCAUUUGUAAAAUGAAGAUGGCAUCACUUGAAAAUUAUCAUAAAAAAUCACAAUGUUGAAUUAAGUGCUCAUCCACACAGGAGGUUCUCAGUGAAUAUAACGUUUCUCCUACCACAUCCUCCUUCACCUCUCUAGAGAGGUCUGGAUGUAGAGGAGCCACCAAAGGCCCAAUUUCCCCAGUGAAGAGUAGGUCAAUGUUCUUCAGCGAGUUGACCAUUUCUAGGGGUUCAGACGGUCAUGUGGUUAGACGCACCUCCCUGGGCUGCAGAGGCUCCCGAGAUGAGUGCAGCUGCCUGCAGCCACCUCUGUCGUGGCAACUAGGCCCAAGGAUGCACAAUGAACACCUUUUUCAUCUCCUUUGUUGCUGGUUUAUUUGAGUUAAUCUAGCACAUUUAAAAAUGCCUGGCACCCUUCUGUCAGUUUGCACAACCUUCUGAAUAUUGUGAAAAUGGCAGUAAUCAUAGCUGUUGAUUAUUAUUUGCCCCCACUGACGUUAUGGCACACAACCCUACUUUAAUUUGUCCAAAGCCAUAUUUUACCAAGCCAGGGCAGAAUUCAAACCCAGACGUCCGACGCGAAUGCCUGACUUUUAACUACUUUGCGGUGUUUGUCCUCUUUAGGGUGAGUUCAGAAAUGGACACUUUCGGUAAAUGGAUUCAUGAUAGUUUUUUACCACUCCAGCACAAGUGGUCCAGCCGCUAGCCUCUUGCCUCUGCCCACUUCCGCUGAGCAGCUGGGGGGCGUCUGGUGUCCUGUGGGGAGGAGCGCCACCUUCUCACGCCUACUCUUGCUGAGGUUAAACAGCAUUUCAGUGCCGAAUAAAACGGCCACGAAGGGGAAAAAGGAGAACGCUUAAAU